UAGUGUCCCACUCCACCUUCUUGCAUAUACGAUGGAUGCUCUCAGAUUGUCGAAGACUGUUUACCUUCUCCUUUCUCCCACGGAUGAUCUAAGAUUGCAAUAGUUCACAACCGCUGGAUUCACCGAUGGCGAUUAGUGAAGUACUAAGCCUAAUGUACCUUUCUCAGAUUUAUGUGUUCAUAGAUGGCGAUUCCGAUUUCGUUAUGUUGAUAAGGCGCUUACAAAUUUCGAUUCUGAUCAAGACUAAGAUAAACGAUCUCAAUUUAUCAUCACGGAUACUCUCAUGUACACAUGAACGACAAAUAUCAACAUAGGCUGUUUUGUUCACUGACACUUAACGAAGACAACUGGCAUGGGGAAGCAAAUGAUACUAAGGUACUGGUUAUCUCCUUAGAAUCUGCCCUUCCAUUUUCUGUAUUGUGUACAGCAUUGGAUAGAGUUACUAGGUAGCUCGGAUUACUAAUUGUGACAAGCAAUGGAACCAAGGUUUUAACCCAUUAAUCUUGCUCGGAACAUUCGUGAGCGUCACAAGCUACCCUUGAAAACUCCUCUAAAGAGCCUACACAAGGAAAAAAAGUAACACAUGCUUAUCCUUGUAACAAAAAUAAGAGGUUGUUAAUGAAAUCAGCAAAACAUGUCUCUACAGUUAUUUUGUUUUUCUUGAAAACUAAGAGAGGUCUGUAGUGUAUCUUCUCGGUAUUAUUCAUAUAUAUAAAAAUUAUAUCUACAAGUUAUUUUAGACGUUGUUAAUGAAAUCAGAAAAAACAUGUCUCUACAGUUAUUUUGUUUCUCUUGAAAACUAAGAGAGGUCUGUACUGACCAUCCAAGCCAACACCAUGGUC
Molecule: long non-coding RNA, 842 nt
Organism: Brassica oleracea var. oleracea
Lineage: Eukaryota; Viridiplantae; Streptophyta; Magnoliopsida; Brassicales; Brassicaceae
Exons: 3
Source: RefSeq, a predicted model, not a curated record